CAACUGCACAAACCCCGGCUUAUCCAAAUAGUGGCCGCGGGUCCAUCCAUCUUUAUCAGUGUAGCCUUCUUGAAACAUCCUAUAAAAGAAACGAGGUCAGGUUUAACGGCACUCACCAAACCCAAAAUUUUGAAAAUAUGCUUAUGCAACAUGAUGCAACGAUUCCUACGGACUCACAGACUCAUAUACACACUCGUAAAGAAAUUGGUGGCAUCGUAAUCUCUCCCUAAAUAACAGACUACCGAAUACUAGCGACAUGCAGCAAGCAGUUAGCAUCUGCAAAAC
Molecule: long non-coding RNA, 285 nt
Filed under: Setaria viridis
Lineage: Eukaryota; Viridiplantae; Streptophyta; Magnoliopsida; Poales; Poaceae
Description: long non-coding RNA (SVIR_LNC006635)
Source: RNAcentral